CUACGGGAGGCUGCAGUGGGGAAUAUUGGACAAUGGACCAAAAGUCUGAUCCAGCAAUUCUGUGUGCACGAUGAAGGUCUUCGGAUUGUAAAGUGCUUUCAGGUGGGAAGAAGAAAGUGACGGUACCACCAGAAGAAGCGACGGCUAAAUACGUGCCAGCAGCCGCGGUAAUACGUAUGUCGCAAGCGUUAUCCGGAAUUAUUGGGCGUAAAGCGAGUCUAGGCGGCUUGUUAAGUCAGAUGUGAAAAUGCGGGGCUCAACUCCGUAUUGCGUUUGAAACUGGCAGGCUAGAGUACUGGAGAGGUGGGCGGAACUACAAGUGUAGAGGUGAAAUUCGUAGAUAUUUGUAGGAAUGCCGAUAGUGAAGACAGCUCACUGGACAGAUACUGACGCUAAAGCUCGAAAGCGUGGGGAGCGAACAGGAUUAGAUACCCGGGUAGUC
RNAcentral lists this ribosomal RNA (442 nucleotides) under uncultured bacterium. RNAcentral's name for it is "partial 16S ribosomal RNA". It matches the Rfam family "Bacterial small subunit ribosomal RNA", at positions 339 to 795 of the family's 1533-position model. The record is from RNAcentral.